GCUAAAUUAGGUCCUGCUUUUCCAAGGGCUUUUCCCUUUUCCUCCGUCGUCGGGCGGCGUCGGCUCCUCGCGGGUCGCGUCGCACGCGCGGGGGUAGGUGAGCUCGAGCAGGAAUCUCUUCUUAGAGGGACUGGCUGUUGUUAGCAGCACGAGAUAGAGCAAUAACAGGUCUGUGAUGCCCUUAGAUGUUCUGGGCCGCACACGCGCUACACUGAAUAGAUCAGCUAGUUUCUCCCUCGCCGAGAGGCGCGGGAAAACUGUUGAACCCUAUUCGUGGUAGGGAUUGGAGCUUGCAAUUGUUCUCCAUGAACCAGGAAUUCCCAGUAGGCGCAAGUCAUAAGCUUGCGUCGAUUACGUCCCUGCCCUUUGUACACACCGCCCGUCGCUACUACCGAUUGAGUGUUUUANUGAGGUCCUCGGAUUGCCGGGUUAUUGUGGCUUCACCGCUGCUUCCCCGGCGAGAAGACGACCAAACUGUAGCACUUAGAGGAAGUAAAAGUCGUAACAAGGU
RNAcentral lists this ribosomal RNA (511 nucleotides) under Acartia fossae. RNAcentral's name for it is "bacterial SSU rRNA". It matches the Rfam family "Eukaryotic small subunit ribosomal RNA", at positions 1350 to 1800 of the family's 1831-position model. Lineage: Eukaryota; Metazoa; Arthropoda; Copepoda; Calanoida; Acartiidae. The record is from RNAcentral.